UUUUAACUGUUCUGAUUCUCAGGUUUUCAGAUAAAUGGUGUGCUUCACCAAAAAAAAAAGGCUGUUAGGCAUUAUUAACAACAUUUUUCCUUUGUUUUUCUUUUCUUUCUUCAGCCUGGCAGUGGACAAAAAAUGAAGUGACCAGACCAGGAUGGUGUGAGUUCAGAAAUGCAGGGUGAUCCUUCAGGAGGGGGCUGCCCGAGAAGCUUCAGCCACCUUUCUAACUAGGCAGACCAGAGGUGAGCUGCAGUGCCAGGGGGUGCCAGCCGUGCCCAGGUGAGCUGCAGUGCCAGGAGGUGCCAGCCCUGCCCCAUCUCGUGUUGCAGGCAUGGCUGCAGUGCCAUGUCUGUGUCAUUCGGUGGCAGACAGCAACAGGCGAGGUCUUCCCUGGUGCUCUGAGCCCUGUGAGCUCUCAGGAUUGCUCAACAACCUCACAUUUCAGUUCUUUUCCCUGCUCUCUUGCCUUUAAUGGGGAAUGGUGGAGGAUGGACACUGUCCUUUAGCCCGUCCCUGUAUCCACGUGGUGCUGUUUGUCACUGUCCCCUCUCGAGGGACACCCAGAGCAGCUCUGGGCACGCAGAGAUUGUGACCCUGAGCUUUGCAGUGAGUGGCUCUGGCACUGCUGAAUGGGAAACCUCAUUAAACGGCCAUUAGAGGGCCAGAGGGGCCUCAGUGGUGCAAAGUGAGCCCUUCAAUUGGCAAAAGUCACUGGCUUUGGAGAAGAAUGUUAAUGAGGCUGUGGGGAUGUGGUUCUGCUUGAGGAUGUGGCUCUUUUAUUUAAAUUUCUUGACUUCUUUUAACCCUGCAAUGCGUGUUUGGGGUUUUUCAUCAGGCUUUGCUCACUCCUAAUGAGUGUCUCUAGGGCUCCCUGUGAGGCACAGCAGAACCAUGAACAUUUUCCUGAUGGCAUUUGUGGAACUGCCCUUCCCCAGGCAGCACUCCUGGGCCAUGGAGAUUGCUUUGCUGAAGGAAAAACUGGCUCUGAGCUGUGGAAAACGUGAAUGUUUUACAUGAAAGUGGUUUAGAGAGGAAUUAAAAAUCUCUCUGCACAUAGCACAGCCCUUCAUCAUCAAGGACUGGUUUAUGUCAUGGCUUUAAAGCUGGAAUAAGCUCAGAUUUUUUUUUUCCCUGCACUAUUAAUAGCUUGGCUCUGCACCACGGUUGGCAAACUCACCUUGGAUUUUUAGGGAGUGAUGGAAUAACCCAGAGCAGGCUCCAGCUAUCCUGCUCUUAAAUUAUCCCUUUCCUAAACUCCCCCAGCCAGAUAUUUUUCCAAAACCCUUUGAUGUCCUGCCAAAAAGCUUCUCCUAAAUUUGUGCCAUGUCCUUCUGGGCUGAAGGAAAUCCCUGUCUCAAAGUUUCCUAGUGAACCCUGAUAACAGCCUUAAAAUCUUUCAUUUUAUAUUUCAUCUUUAUUUCCUCUGGGAUCUGAAAACUCCUGAGACAGACCCAAGACAGUGAGAGCAGCAGAGUCUGCAUGGCAAGGGUUAAUUAAAUAGCUCAUUAGUAUUGAUUUUAUUGCUCCCUUUUCUUGCCUGUUUUUCAACUUUUCUGACAUCUUGGGCCUUAUUUUUUUAUUUGCAGAUUAUGCCUUGAGCUGCAGAAUGUCUGACAAACUGAGAACUGCUUGGCAGCAUCCACGUCUGAUGGCUUGGAGAUUCCUAAAAACUUGAUCAUCUGUGUUUUCUCUACAUGGUUAAGAAGGAUUUAAAUUAAAAAAGCCUAAAUAAAGAUGCCACCUACAAGACUGAAAGGA
Non-coding RNA from Zonotrichia albicollis (white-throated sparrow), 1755 nucleotides. NCBI's taxonomy places the organism in Eukaryota, Metazoa, Chordata, Aves, Passeriformes, Passerellidae. The record is from RefSeq and is a predicted model, not a curated record.